Pelobates cultripes (western spadefoot toad) is the source of this 253-nucleotide non-coding RNA. Lineage: Eukaryota; Metazoa; Chordata; Amphibia; Anura; Pelobatidae. The record is from the annotation of a GenBank genome assembly.
GGGAAGGUGGAAAGAAUGAACAGAACUAUAAAGACCCAGUUGGCAAAAAUGUGUCAAGAGGCCCAGCUUAAGUGGAAUGUUCUUUUGCCAAUAGCUCUGUUGCGCAUACGCAGUACUCCUACCAGGAGAACGGGUCUGUCUCCUUUUGAAAUUAUGUAUGGACGUUCACCUCCUAUACUCAGUAAUCUAAGGGGGAAUUUGAGUCAGUUGGGUGAAGGAAUUACAGCAGGUUGUAGAGUUGGGUAGAACUAUG